Molecule: ribosomal RNA, 520 nt
Filed under: uncultured bacterium
Lineage: Bacteria
Description: partial 16S ribosomal RNA
Rfam family: Bacterial small subunit ribosomal RNA
Source: RNAcentral
AUUGAACGCUGGCGGCAGGCCUAACACAUGCAAGUCGAACGGACUACUUUGCUUCGGUAAGGUGGUUAGUGGCGAACGGGUGAGCAACGCGUAGACAACCUACCUCUUAGAUGGGGACAACAUCGCGAAAGCGGUGCUAAUACCGAAUGAAGUGACUUUCCUGCAUGGGAGAGAUACUAAAGGUGGCCUCUAUUUAUAAGCUACCACUGAGAGAUGGGUCUGCGUCUGAUUAGCUAGUUGGCGGGGUAACGGCCCACCAAGGCGACGAUCAGUAGCCGGUCUGAGAGGAUGAACGGCCACAUUGGGACUGAGACACGGCCCAAACUCCUACGGGAGGCAGCAGUGGGGAAUCUUCCGCAAUGGACGAAAGUCUGACGGAGCAACGCCGCGUGAGUGAAGAAGGUUUUCGGAUCGAAAAGCUCUGUUGUUUGAGACGAAUGUGCCUGUUUCGAAUAGGGAUAGGUAAUGACGGUAUUAAACGAGAAAGCCACGGCUAACUACGUGCCAGCAGCCGCCGUAA